GCCGACAUAGCUCAUCAGGUAGAGCAGCACAUUCGUAAUGUGCAGGUGACCGGUUCGACUCCGGUUGUCGGCUCCA
RNAcentral lists this transfer RNA (76 nucleotides) under Deltaproteobacteria bacterium. Its description in RNAcentral is "tRNA-Thr". It matches the Rfam family "tRNA". From Rfam's summary of the family: Transfer RNA (tRNA) molecules are approximately 80 nucleotides in length. Lineage: Bacteria; Pseudomonadati; Myxococcota; Myxococcia. The record is from RNAcentral.